Molecule: ribosomal RNA, 449 nt
Filed under: uncultured bacterium
Lineage: Bacteria
Description: bacterial SSU rRNA
Rfam family: Bacterial small subunit ribosomal RNA
Source: RNAcentral
ACCCAGACUCCUACGGGAGGCAGCAGUGGGGCCUCUUGGGCAAUGGGCGCCAGCCUGACCCCGCCACGCCGCGUGCCGGAAGAAGGCUUUCGGGUUGUAACCUUCUUUUCUCAGGGCCGCCGCAAGUGCCGGUCCCUGAGGACUCCGCCACGGCUACCUCCGUGCCAGCAGCCGCGGUAAUACGUCGGUGGCAAGCGUUCUCCGGAUUUACUGGGGGUAAAGGGCGGGGAGGCGGGAAAGCAAGGCAGAUGUGAAAGCCAUGGGCUCAACCGGUGGCCUGCAGUUGAAACUGUUUUUCUUGAGGACGGGAGAGGCAGACGGAAUUCCUAGGGGAGCGGUGAAAGGCGGAGAUAUUAGGAGGAACACCAGUGGCGAAGGCGGUCUGCGGGACAGCAACUGACGCGGAGGCGCGAAAGCGGGGGGAGCAAACAGGAUUAGAUACCCUCGUA